RNAcentral lists this ribosomal RNA (459 nucleotides) under uncultured bacterium. RNAcentral describes it as "partial 16S ribosomal RNA". It matches the Rfam family "Bacterial small subunit ribosomal RNA", at positions 339 to 795 of the family's 1533-position model. The record is from RNAcentral.
CUACGGGCCGCAGCAGUGAGGAAUAUUGGUCAAUGGGCGUAGGCCUGAACCAGCCAAGUAGCGUGAAGGAUGACUGCCCUAUGGGUUGUAAACUUCUUUUAUAUGGGAAUAAAGUGAUCCACGUGUGGAUUUUUGUAUGUACCAUAUGAAUAAGGAUCGGCUAACUCCGUGCCAGCAGCCGCGGUAAUACGGAGGAUCCAAGCGUUAUCCGGAUUUAUUGGGUUUAAAGGGAGCGUAGGUGGAAGCCUAAGUCAGUUGUGAAAGUUUGCGGCUCAACCGUAAAAUUGCAGUUGAUACUGGGUUUCUUGAGUACAGUAGAGGUGGGCGGAAUUCGUGGUGUAGCGGUGAAAUGCUUAGAUAUCACGAAGAACUCCAAUUGCGAAGGCAGCUCACUAGACUGCAACUGACACUGAUGCUCGAAAGUGUGGGUAUCAAACAGGAUUAGAUACCCCCGUAGUC